Molecule: transfer RNA, 81 nt
Filed under: Caudoviricetes sp.
Lineage: Duplodnaviria; Heunggongvirae; Uroviricota; Caudoviricetes
Description: tRNA-Leu
Rfam family: tRNA
About the family: Transfer RNA (tRNA) molecules are approximately 80 nucleotides in length. Their secondary structure includes four short double-helical elements and three loops (D, anti-codon, and T loops). Further hydrogen bonds mediate the characteristic L-shaped molecular structure. tRNAs have two regions of fundamental functional importance: the anti-codon, which is responsible for specific mRNA codon recognition, and the 3' end, to which the tRNAs corresponding amino acid is attached (by aminoacyl-tRNA synthetases). tRNAs cope with the degeneracy of the genetic code in two manners: having more than one tRNA (with a specific anti-codon) for a particular amino acid; and 'wobble' base-pairing, i.e. permitting non-standard base-pairing at the 3rd anti-codon position.
Source: RNAcentral
GCGCGGCUGGCGAAAUGAAGACGCACUCGGUUUAAGCCCGGGCGGCCAACGGUCGUGCAGGUUCAAGUCCUGCGCCGCGCA